CCUACGGGUGGCAGCAGUGGGGAAUAUUGCGCAAUGGGCGAAAGCCUGACGCAGCGACGCCGCGUGAGGGAUGAAGGUCUUCGGAUCGUAAACCUCUGUCAGCAGGGAAGAACGGUCACUGUGCUAAUCAGCAGUGAAUUGACGGUACCUGCAAAGGAAGCACCGGCUAACUCCGUGCCAGCAGCCGCGGUAAGACGGAGGGUGCGAGCGUUAUCCGGAUUUAUUGGGUUUAAAGGGUGCGUAGGCGGUAUUUGAAGUUAGUGGUAAAACGUCGGGGCUUCACCUUGAUUGGCCAUUCAAACUGGAGUACUAGAGUACAGACGAGGUAGGCGGAAUCAGUUCCGUAGCGGUGAACUGCUUAGCUAUAACUUAGAACCCCGAUCGCGAAGGCAGCUUACCAGACUGUUACUGACGCUGACGCACG
RNAcentral lists this ribosomal RNA (424 nucleotides) under uncultured bacterium. Its description in RNAcentral is "partial 16S ribosomal RNA". It matches the Rfam family "Bacterial small subunit ribosomal RNA", at positions 338 to 755 of the family's 1533-position model. The record is from RNAcentral.